RNAcentral lists this ribosomal RNA (406 nucleotides) under uncultured bacterium. Its description in RNAcentral is "partial 16S ribosomal RNA". It matches the Rfam family "Bacterial small subunit ribosomal RNA", at positions 29 to 526 of the family's 1533-position model. The record is from RNAcentral.
AUUGAACGCUGGCGGCAGGCCUAACACAUGCAAGUCGAACGCGUGGCGGACGGGUGAGUAAUGUCUGGGAAACUGCCUGUUGGAGGGGGAUAACUACUGGAAACGGUAGCUAAUACCGCAUACCAUCGGAUGUGCCCAGAUGGGAUUAGCUAGUAGGUGGGGUAAAGGCUCACCUAGGCGACGAUCCCUAGCUGGUCUGAGAGGAUGACCAGCCACACUGGAACUGAGACACGGUCCAGACUCCUACGGGAGGCAGCAGUGGGGAAUAUUGCACAAUGGGCGCAAGCCGGAUGCAGCCAUGCCGCGUGGAUGAAGAAGGCCGUCGGGUUGUAAAGCACUUGCAGCGGGGAGGCGUUACCUGCAGAAGAAGCACCGGCUAACUCCGGGCCAGCAGCCGCGGUAAUAC